This 256-nucleotide ribosomal RNA is filed under the name uncultured bacterium. RNAcentral's name for it is "partial 16S ribosomal RNA". It matches the Rfam family "Bacterial small subunit ribosomal RNA", at positions 524 to 776 of the family's 1533-position model. The record is from RNAcentral.
UACGAAGGGGGCUAGCGUUGCUCGGAAUCACUGGGCGUAAAGGGUGCGUAGGCGGGUCUUUUAAGUCAGGGGUGAAAUCCUGGAGCUCAACUCCAGAACUGCCUUUGAUACUGAGGAUCUUGAGUUCGGGAGAGGUGAGUGGAACUGCGAGUGUAGAGGUGAAAUUCGUAGAUAUUCGCAAGAACACCAGUGGCGAAGGCGGCUUACUGGUCCAUUACUGACGCUGAGGUGGCGAAAAGCGUGGGGAGCAAACAGG